UGGAGUCUUUCGGGAUUAGUGGCAGACGGCUGAGUAAUACGUGAGAACUUACCCCUAACCCGUGAAUAUCCCAGCGAAAGUUGGGUUAAUACACGAUAGACCCUUGGUAGCAAUACUGUAGGGUAAAGUUCCGGCGGUUAGGGAUGGGCUCAUGGCCUAUCAGCUUGUUGGUGAGGUAACGGCUCACCAAGGCUAUGACGGGUAGGGGGCCUGAGAGGGCGAUCCCCCAGAAUGGGACUGAGACACGGCCCAUACUCCUACGGGAGGCAGCAAUUAGGAAUCGUGCGCAAUGGACGAAAGUCUGACGCCGCGACGCCGCGUGGAGGAUGAAGGCCUUCGGGUUGUAAACUCCUUUUAUGUGGGAACAAGUUCUGAGGGUACCACAUGAAUAAGUAGCUUCUAACUACGUGCCAGAAGAAUCGGUGAUACGUAGGCUACAAGCGCUAUCCGGAAUCACUGGGCGUAAAGAGAUGCGUA
RNAcentral lists this ribosomal RNA (477 nucleotides) under uncultured Bifidobacterium sp. RNAcentral describes it as "bacterial SSU rRNA". It matches the Rfam family "Bacterial small subunit ribosomal RNA", at positions 75 to 573 of the family's 1533-position model. The record is from RNAcentral. Lineage: Bacteria; Bacillati; Actinomycetota; Actinomycetes; Bifidobacteriales; Bifidobacteriaceae.